This 643-nucleotide long non-coding RNA is filed under the name Homo sapiens (human). RNAcentral describes it as "HSALNT0046600". Lineage: Eukaryota; Metazoa; Chordata; Mammalia; Primates; Hominidae. The record is from RNAcentral.
UCUUAAGUCUGGAAGAAACACGGAGCCCAGUAUCAAGGGAGUGGAGUAGUUCUUUUCCCAGACGUAGCACAGGGUUUUUCAAGCCUGAAGAAAAAGAUUAAUCUCCUUAAAACAAGGCUUUGUUGACUUGGGUCUGGUCAUGGCAAUCCUGUUUCCAGCCAUCCUGUGUAUAAGCUCUAACGGUCAGAAGUUUGUUUGCUUUGAUUUUGAUGUGGCUCAUCUUUUCUUAGCUGCUCAUAUUCAAGAUUUGGAAAAGAAGGAACGGUGGUGAGCUGAGCAAUUAAUUGGAUUCUGAUAAGGAGUUCUGGAGAAAUUUUAUUAUUCCUGAGUUUUAAACCCGUGUAACUUUAAUAUAACUUUGAUCACUAAUCUUCUCCAACAAAUUUUUAGCCUAUAUAAAAUAAAAAAAGGUACUCCUGCCCUAUGACUCAACUUACAAAUCUACAAACCUGGAGGAAGAAAUAGCUCUGUGAUCCAUUCCUGGGGAAUUGCAAUAAAGUUUUAGGGAAGAUGGAACUUAAUGUUUGUGAAAGCACGGGUCCUAUUUCCGAUUUCCAGGAGGGUGGAAUGUAUCUUCCUGAAUCACAUUCCGCUGAAAAUAGGAGGCCAUGGAAGAAAUCAGAUUUGAUUUCUGAACAAUCAU